GAUGAACGCUGGCGGCGUGCCUAAUACAUGCAAGUCGAGCGAACAGACGAGGAGCUUGCUCCUCUGACGUUAGCGGCGGACGGGUGAGUAACACGUGGAUAACCUACCUAUAAGACUGGGAUAACUUCGGGAAACCGGAGCUAAUACCGGAUAAUAUAUUGAACCGCAUGGUUCAAUAGUGAAAGACGGUUUUGCUGUCACUUAUAGAUGGAUCCGCGCCGCAUUAGCUAGUUGGUAAGGUAACAGCUUACCAAGGCAACGAUGCGUAGCCGACCUGAGAGGGUGAUCGGCCACACUGGAACUGAGACACGGUCCAGACUCCUACGGGAGGCAGCAGUAGGGAAUCUUCCGCAAUGGGCGAAAGCCUGACGGAGCAACGCCGCGCGAGUGAUGAAGGUCUUCGGAUCGUAAAACUCUGUUAUUAGGGAAGAACAAAUGUGUAAGUAACUAUGCACGUCUUGACGGUACCUAAUCAGAAAGCCACGGCUAACUACGCG
Molecule: ribosomal RNA, 497 nt
Filed under: uncultured bacterium
Lineage: Bacteria
Description: partial 16S ribosomal RNA
Rfam family: Bacterial small subunit ribosomal RNA
Source: RNAcentral